This 1540-nucleotide ribosomal RNA is filed under the name Klebsiella pneumoniae. RNAcentral's name for it is "16S ribosomal RNA". It matches the Rfam family "Bacterial small subunit ribosomal RNA". The record is from RNAcentral. Lineage: Bacteria; Pseudomonadati; Pseudomonadota; Gammaproteobacteria; Enterobacterales; Enterobacteriaceae.
AAAUUGAAGAGUUUGAUCAUGGCUCAGAUUGAACGCUGGCGGCAGGCCUAACACAUGCAAGUCGAGCGGUAGCACAGAGAGCUUGCUCUCGGGUGACGAGCGGCGGACGGGUGAGUAAUGUCUGGGAAACUGCCUGAUGGAGGGGGAUAACUACUGGAAACGGUAGCUAAUACCGCAUAACGUCGCAAGACCAAAGUGGGGGACCUUCGGGCCUCAUGCCAUCAGAUGUGCCCAGAUGGGAUUAGCUAGUAGGUGGGGUAACGGCUCACCUAGGCGACGAUCCCUAGCUGGUCUGAGAGGAUGACCAGCCACACUGGAACUGAGACACGGUCCAGACUCCUACGGGAGGCAGCAGUGGGGAAUAUUGCACAAUGGGCGCAAGCCUGAUGCAGCCAUGCCGCGUGUGUGAAGAAGGCCUUCGGGUUGUAAAGCACUUUCAGCGGGGAGGAAGGCGUUAAGGUUAAUAACCUCAUCGAUUGACGUUACCCGCAGAAGAAGCACCGGCUAACUCCGUGCCAGCAGCCGCGGUAAUACGGAGGGUGCAAGCGUUAAUCAGAAUUACUGGGCGUAAAGCGCACGCAGGCGGUCUGUCAAGUCGGAUGUGAAAUCCCCGGGCUCAACCUGGGAACUGCAUUCGAAACUGGCAGGCUAGAGUCUUGUAGAGGGGGGUAGAAUUCCAGGUGUAGCGGUGAAAUGCGUAGAGAUCUGGAGGAAUACCGGUGGCGAAGGCGGCCCCCUGGACAAAGACUGACGCUCAGGUGCGAAAGCGUGGGGAGCAAACAGGAUUAGAUACCCUGGUAGUCCACGCCGUAAACGAUGUCGAUUUGGAGGUUGUGCCCUUGAGGCGUGGCUUCCGGAGCUAACGCGUUAAAUCGACCGCCUGGGGAGUACGGCCGCAAGGUUAAAACUCAAAUGAAUUGACGGGGGCCCGCACAAGCGGUGGAGCAUGUGGUUUAAUUCGAUGCAACGCGAAGAACCUUACCUGGUCUUGACAUCCACAGAACUUAGCAGAGAUGCUUUGGUGCCUUCGGGAACUGUGAGACAGGUGCUGCAUGGCUGUCGUCAGCUCGUGUUGUGAAAUGUUGGGUUAAGUCCCGCAACGAGCGCAACCCUUAUCCUUUGUUGCCAGCGGUCCGGCCGGGAACUCAAAGGAGACUGCCAGUGAUAAACUGGAGGAAGGUGGGGAUGACGUCAAGUCAUCAUGGCCCUUACGACCAGGGCUACACACGUGCUACAAUGGCAUAUACAAAGAGAAGCGACCUCGCGAGAGCAAGCGGACCUCAUAAAGUAUGUCGUAGUCCGGAUUGGAGUCUGCAACUCGACUCCAUGAAGUCGGAAUCGCUAGUAAUCGUAGAUCAGAAUGCUACGGUGAAUACGUUCCCGGGCCUUGUACACACCGCCCGUCACACCAUGGGAGUGGGUUGCAAAAGAAGUAGGUAGCUUAACCUUCGGGAGGGCGCUUACCACUUUGUGAUUCAUGACUGGGGUGAAGUCGUAACAAGGUAACCGUAGGGGAACCUGCGGUUGGAUCACCUCCUUA